Molecule: long non-coding RNA, 267 nt
Organism: Poecile atricapillus (Black-capped chickadee)
Lineage: Eukaryota; Metazoa; Chordata; Aves; Passeriformes; Paridae
Exons: 3
Source: RefSeq, a predicted model, not a curated record
CGGGGAUCCCCCGUCGCUGAUUGGCUGGCUGAGCUGUCAAUCACGCGCGUGACGCGGCCGGGCCGGAGCGCGGCGGAGCCGAGAGUCCCGUUCCCGGCUGGGCUCGGAGCGUUCCGGGGGCUCCCCCGGGGCUCCCCCCGCGCUCCGCAGCCGCUCCCGCUCGGCCCCGCCCGUGCUCUGGGCAGCGCAAAGGUUCGGGAGGAGACUCCGGAGGAUGAGCGAUGAGUUCCAGCUGCAGGUGCUGCCGCGGCCCCGCAGUGUGGGUGG